RNAcentral lists this ribosomal RNA (1244 nucleotides) under metagenome. RNAcentral's name for it is "bacterial SSU rRNA". It matches the Rfam family "Bacterial small subunit ribosomal RNA", at positions 244 to 1498 of the family's 1533-position model. The record is from RNAcentral.
GCUUGUUGGCGGGGUAACGGCCCACCAAGGCAACGAUCAGUAGGGGUUCUGAGAGGAAGGUCCCCCACAUUGGAACUGAGACACGGUCCAAACUCCUACGGGAGGCAGCAGUGAGGAAUAUUGGUCAAUGGGCGAGAGCCUGAACCAGCCAAGUAGCGUGCAGGACGACGGCCCUAUGGGUUGUAAACUGCUUUUAUAAGGGAAUAAAGUGAGUCUCGUGAGACUUUUUGCAAGUACCUUAUGAAUAAGGACCGGCUAAUUCCGUGCCAGCAGCCGCGGUAAUACGGAAGGUCCGGGCGUUAUCCGGAUUUAUUGGGUUUAAAGGGAGCGUAGGCCGGAGAUUAAGCGUGUUGUGAAAUGUAGACGCUCAACGUCUGCACUGCAGCGCGAACUGGUUUCCUUGAGUACGCACAAAGUGGGCGGAAUUCGUGGUGUAGCGGUGAAAUGCUUAGAUAUCACGAAGAACUCCGAUUGCGAAGGCAGCUCACUGGAGCGCAACUGACGCUGAAGCUCGAAAGUGCGGGUAUCGAACAGGAUUAGAUACCCUGGUAGUCCGCACGGUAAACGAUGGAUGCCCGCUGUUGGUCUGAAUAGGUCAGCGGCCAAGCGAAAGCAUUAAGCAUCCCACCUGGGGAGUACGCCGGCAACGGUGAAACUCAAAGGAAUUGACGGGGGCCCGCACAAGCGGAGGAACAUGUGGUUUAAUUCGAUGAUACGCGAGGAACCUUACCCGGGCUUGAAUUGCAGAGGAAGGAUUCGGAGACAAUGACGCCCUUCGGGGCCUCUGUGAAGGUGCUGCAUGGUUGUCGUCAGCUCGUGCCGUGAGGUGUCGGCUUAAGUGCCAUAACGAGCGCAACCCCUCUCCUUAGUUGCCAUCAGGUCAUGCUGGGCACUCUGGGGACACUGCCACCGUAAGGUGUGAGGAAGGUGGGGAUGACGUCAAAUCAGCACGGCCCUUACGUCCGGGGCUACACACGUGUUACAAUGGCAGGUACAGAGAGACGGACCCUUGCAAAAGGGAUCAAAUCCUCAAAGCCUGUCUCAGUUCGGACUGGGGUCUGCAACCCGACCCCACGAAGCUGGAUUCGCUAGUAAUCGCGCAUCAGCCAUGGCGCGGUGAAUACGUUCCCGGGCCUUGUACACACCGCCCGUCAAGCCAUGAAAGCCGGGGGCGCCUAAAGUCCGUGACCGUAAGGAGCGGCCUAGGGCGAAACUGGUAAUUGGGGCUAAGUCGUAACAAGGUA